UACGUAGGGGGCUAGCGUUGUCCGGAAUCAUUGGGCGUAAAGCGCGCGUAGGCGGCCCGGUAAGUCCGUUGUAAAAGUCAAAGGCUCAACCUUUGAAAGCCGAUGGAUACUGUCGGGCUAGAGUACGGAAGAGGCGAGUGGAAUUCCUGGUGUAGCGGUGAAAUGCGCAGAUAUCAGGAGGAACACCAAUUGCGAAGGCAGCUCGCUGGGACGUGACUGACGCUGAGACGCGAAAGCUAGGGGAGCAAACGGG
RNAcentral lists this ribosomal RNA (253 nucleotides) under uncultured bacterium. RNAcentral describes it as "partial 16S ribosomal RNA". It matches the Rfam family "Bacterial small subunit ribosomal RNA", at positions 524 to 776 of the family's 1533-position model. The record is from RNAcentral.